Molecule: unclassified non-coding RNA, 253 nt
Filed under: uncultured Alteromonadaceae bacterium
Lineage: Bacteria; Pseudomonadati; Pseudomonadota; Gammaproteobacteria; Alteromonadales; Alteromonadaceae
Description: contains 16S-23S intergenic spacer region
Rfam family: Bacterial small subunit ribosomal RNA
Source: RNAcentral
UACGGAGGGUGCAAGCGUUAAUCGGAAUUACUGGGCGUAAAGCGCACGCAGGCGGCUUGUUAAGCCAGAUGUGAAAGCCCCGGGCUCAACCUGGGAGGGUCAUUUGGAACUGGCAAGCUAGAGUCUUGGAGAGGGGAGUGGAAUUCCAGGUGUAGCGGUGAAAUGCGUAGAGAUCUGGAGGAACAUCAGUGGCGAAGGCGGCUCCCUGGCCAAAGACUGACGCUCAUGUGCGAAAGUGUGGGUAGCGAACAGG